GGUCUUGAAAAUUACAUUAUGUGAAAGGGGGGGGGGGUCUUCGGAUUUUUCCCAACAAAAGGAUUGUUUCUCGUUAUAUACUAUGAACAGCCAAAAGAGAUGCAUAAAAUGCCCUUUAAACUGGAACACUGGGUAUUAACAUAACGAGUAAAGCAUAAAAAACAUAAUAUAAAAGUGGAUGUAGGCGAGACAAGCAUAGGCCAUAGAGUAACCUACCUAAAUAGAUUGUAAAAUAUUUAACUAGUUUCAUCAAAUUUUAUACCUCUUCAUUAAUCACUUGCUCUCCUAAGCUUUGUCCUAAUCGGGCCAGCCAUCAAUACAAAACUAUAUUUUCAAGCGGUACAAGAGGGGGGUCUUUAAAAAGUAUAAAAUGCAUAAGGGGGGGGGGCCUUGAAAAGGCAUAUAAUUUUUGAGGGGGGCCCCAAAAUUUUUUUCAAAAUUUCUAGUUUCUCCUCCAUCNNNNNNNNNNNNNNNNNNNNCCCCCCCCCCCCCCCCCCCCCUUGCCAUAUUUAAUGACCGGUCCCUUAGCCAACCUCGUUCCCAGGCUCUUUGCUCUUGGGAAGCAUUCCCAAGAGCAAAGAGCCUGGGAACGAGGUUGCCCUUAGCUUCAUAUUGCACUGAUUUAAUUGAAAUAAGAAAAGCUUGC
Molecule: long non-coding RNA, 646 nt
Filed under: Paramuricea clavata
Lineage: Eukaryota; Metazoa; Cnidaria; Anthozoa; Malacalcyonacea; Plexauridae
Source: RNAcentral